UGGGGAAUAUUGGACAAUGGGCGCAAGCCUGAUCCAGCCAUGCCGCGUGAGUGAUGAAGGCCCUAGGGUUGUAAAGCUCUUUCACCGGUGAAGAUAAUGACGGUAACCGGAGAAGAAGCCCCGGCUAACUUCGUGCCAGCAGCCGCGGUAAUACGAAGGGGGCUAGCGUUGUUCGGAUUUACUGGGCGUAAAGCGCACGUAGGCGGACUAUUAAGUCAGGGGUGAAAUCCCGGGGCUCAACCCCGGAACUGCCUUUGAUACUGGUAGUCUUGAGUUCGAGAGAGGUGAGUGGAAUUCCGGGUGUGGAGGUAAAUUUCGUAGAUAUUCGGAGGAACCCCAGUGGCGAAGGCGGCUCACUGGCUCGAUACUGACGCUGAGGUGCGAAGCGUGGGGAGCAAACAGG
RNAcentral lists this ribosomal RNA (403 nucleotides) under Actinomycetes bacterium. RNAcentral's name for it is "Actinobacteria bacterium partial 16S ribosomal RNA". It matches the Rfam family "Bacterial small subunit ribosomal RNA", at positions 355 to 776 of the family's 1533-position model. The record is from RNAcentral. Lineage: Bacteria; Bacillati; Actinomycetota; Actinomycetes.